Molecule: long non-coding RNA, 2461 nt
Filed under: Ananas comosus (pineapple)
Lineage: Eukaryota; Viridiplantae; Streptophyta; Magnoliopsida; Poales; Bromeliaceae
Description: long non-coding RNA (ACOM_LNC001725)
Source: RNAcentral
CCAGGGAUCGGUACGGCGCAGUCGCAAGGACUCCGGCUUUGCAAACUGUUGAAUCCGACGUCGACGCAGCUACCCGUGCUGCUAGGGUCGCCUCUGGGUGAUCCUGGACAAAGGGGGCCGCUGUAAGAACCUUCCCUGGUUCUUGAACUCCCAGAAUUGGCAGGGAAAUUAAACGCCCGCCAUCUGUUCGAAGUUCCCACCUGGUGCCUGCAACCUUCUUGCAGGUGGAUCCCGCCAGAGAUUGAGCAAAAUUGGGUCUGCAAAAGGUAACCGGUUCAAAUUUAUUAGCAAAACAAUGGCCGAAGGAACCCGUUUGAAGUUGCUUGAUGAACACGUUCAUGCACUGGAGCAACAAAUGCAAGAGUUAGCGGCAGGGACUGAGAGGAAAUUUGAAUCACUUACAAGUCGUAUGGAGGCGAUACGUAUGGAAGGACAAUCUCAUUAUGAUGAUUGGAAGAAGGACUCUGCAAACACCUCAAAGAAGCUUGAACAGAUUAUGGAUCUAUUGGUGAACAUACCACAGACUACAUCCAUCAGAGGAGCUACAUCUUCAAUUAGUAUAGAUGAACGAGGUAUAUUGCCAACCCCACCUAUUUCUCACACAAAGGAAGAUAAUCAUAUACAACCUACCAUAAAUCGAUCAGGGUUCCAAUUUCCAUUUCCCAAGUUAGAAUUUCCUAUAUUCAUGAAUGACAAUCCGAGAAGUUGGGUGAGAAAGUGUGAGAGAUAUUUUGAAUUCUAUAGUAUUAAGGAACAUCAGAAAAUGGAGUUAGUAGCCAUGCACUUGGAUGAUAAGGCUGAUACCUGGUUUCAAGGGUAUUUAGCAGAAAAGCGGAUGGUCCAUUGGGCAGAUUUUUUCGAAGAAAUCUGCAGGCGGUUUGAUACGAGAGGAUCGGUGGACGUCGUGGAGGAAUUUAACAAACUGGUGCAAACAGGGACAGUGGAGGAGUAUCAAGAGCAAUUUGAGGAUUUAAAGGCACGACUGCUUACUACUGAUUCUCAAUUCUCCGUGGACUAUUUCCUCUCGAGCUUCCUGAGUGGACUAAAAGAUGAGAUCAGAUCUGCUGUCAAGAUGUUAUAUCCACGAACCUUGACUCAGGCAUUCGAACAAGCCAAACUACAAGAACAGACCAUAGCAGCAAUGAUGAAAAAGAGUAAACAAAUGCUUCGAUUACAAGGGAUCACCAAUUCUCCAAGCAACUACAAGGGAAUGGGUUCGGCAACAUCUGGAAGGUACUCCGACACCGCCAGGAACCAACCCAAGUUCACUACAGAGAAAGCAUUCCCUAACCGGCAAUUAAUCGAGCAGAGAAGAGCCGCUGGUCUCUGUUUCAAAUGUGGGGAUAAGUACAGUCUUGGCCAUACCUGUAAGCCGCAAGCAAUGAAUGCCAUACAAGCAAACCCAGGGGUGACAGAAGUAUAUGAUGAGAUCAGUUUGCAGGAGAUAGAAGGAGAAAAGAGGAUUGAAGUUGAAGAAGAAGAAGAAUUGGGGUUAUCAGUUCACGCCUUGAGUGCUGAGGAUAGCCAAGAUACCAUAAAAAUACAAGGAGAGAACAAGGGUAAGACUUUAUCCAUCCUUGUGGACACUGGGAGCACUCAUAGUUUUAUUGACAUUGGGGUAGCUAAAGAGACCAAGGCUGACAUUGCAACUACUACACCACUCUUGGUAACAGUAGCUAAUGGUCAAAAGGUGUUGAGUAAGCUCAAAUGCACCAAUUAUGUCUGGGAAAUGCAAGGUGAAAAGUAUUCGGCAGACCUGCGAGUGAUACGGCUUGAAGGGUCUAGCAUGAUCUUAGGGAUUGACUGGUUGAGAGUGCAUGGUCCAGUCACCUUCGAUUAUGAAAUUAACACGGUUAUCAUUACAAAGGGUGACAAGAAAAUCCACUUAAAAGGGAUGCCUUACAAGGCAGGAUUGCGAAACAUUACAGCCAAACAGUUACAGCAUGAACUUCAAGAGGGCAGUUGCUAUGCAGUGGCACAGUGGAUACCUCCAGAGGAAGGGAAGGAGGAACACAUACCUGAGACUAUUCAAAUGGUUUUGCAAGAGUAUUGGGAUAUAUUCCAAGAGCCUCAAGGGUUGCCCCCGACUAGAAACCAGGAUCACAAAAUAACGCUGCUGCCUGAUUCUCAACCAGUUAAUAUCAGACCUUAUAGAUACACUUUUGAACAAAAGAAUGAGAUGGAGAGGCAGAUUCGAGAGAUGCUGAACACAGGAAUUAUUCAACCCAGCCAUAGCCCCUACGCCUCACCUGUUCUCUUGGUCAGGAAGAAGGACGGGACCUGGAGGUUUUGCGUCGACUAUCGGCAAUUGAAUAAGCUCACUGUGAAGGACAAAUACCCAAUUCCAAUUAUCGAAGACUUAUUAGAUGAACUGGGAAGGGCUAAAUAUUUCUCUAAGAUUGAUUUGAGGUCAAGGUAUCAUCAAAUCCGAAUGCACCCAAACAACAUAUCGAAAACAGCC